AGCUCGUGUCGUGAGAUGUUGGGUUAAGUCCCGCAACGAGCGCAACCCUUGUCUUUAGUUGCCAUCAUUAAGUUGGGCACUCUAGAGGGACUGCCAGGGAUAACCUGGAGGAAGGUGGGGAUGACGUAAAAUCAUCAUGCCCCUUAUGCUUAGGGCUACACACGUGCUACAAUGGGUAGUACAGAGGGUUGCCAAGCCGUAAGGUGGAGCUAAUCCCUUAAAGCUACUCU
This 230-nucleotide ribosomal RNA is filed under the name Clostridioides difficile. RNAcentral describes it as "partial 16S ribosomal RNA". It matches the Rfam family "Bacterial small subunit ribosomal RNA", at positions 1057 to 1288 of the family's 1533-position model. The record is from RNAcentral. Lineage: Bacteria; Bacillati; Bacillota; Clostridia; Peptostreptococcales; Peptostreptococcaceae.